GCAUCGGUGGUUUAGUGGUAGAAUUCUUGCCCUCCAUGUGGGAGACCUGGGUUUGAUUCCCAGCCAAGGCC
This 71-nucleotide transfer RNA is filed under the name Loxodonta africana (African savanna elephant). It matches the Rfam family "tRNA". From Rfam's summary of the family: Transfer RNA (tRNA) molecules are approximately 80 nucleotides in length. Their secondary structure includes four short double-helical elements and three loops (D, anti-codon, and T loops). Lineage: Eukaryota; Metazoa; Chordata; Mammalia; Proboscidea; Elephantidae. The record is from Rfam by way of RNAcentral.